RNAcentral lists this transfer RNA (78 nucleotides) under Chloroflexota bacterium. RNAcentral's name for it is "Chloroflexi bacterium (freshwater metagenome) tRNA-Val". It matches the Rfam family "tRNA". Rfam says of the family: Transfer RNA (tRNA) molecules are approximately 80 nucleotides in length. Lineage: Bacteria; Bacillati; Chloroflexota. The record is from RNAcentral.
GGGCGAGUAGCUCAGUUGGUUAGAGCGCGUGUCUCACAUACACGAGGUUCGUAGGUUCGAAUCCUAUCUCGCCCACCA